AUGGUGAAGGAUUGCAAGUCUGCACUAGAUGGGGUAAUGCCCAAUAAUAGCAGGGAAGGCACCAAGAGCUUGCUGGAGAUGGCUGCUGGAGAGCAGGGGAAGUAUUCUCACAGAGUAGCUGUGAGGACACACAGAGGAGCUGCUGGAGAGCAGCUCCUACAGGUUGAUGACGAAGAUGGGAUGGGGCAGCGAUGUGGAUGUCUCCUCACCAGACAGAUCCGCCUGAAUCACCUCACCGGCGGCGAUUUCAUGGGUGGCGGCUGGAAGAGGGACUAG
RNAcentral lists this ribosomal RNA (276 nucleotides) under Triticum aestivum (bread wheat). Its description in RNAcentral is "partial small subunit ribosomal RNA". The record is from RNAcentral. Lineage: Eukaryota; Viridiplantae; Streptophyta; Magnoliopsida; Poales; Poaceae.